UACGAACCGUACGAACGUUAUUCGGAAUUACUGGGCUUAAAGGGUUUGUAGGCGGCCUUGUAAGUCAGGUGUGAAAUCCCUCGGCUCAACCGAGGAAUGGCGCUUGAUACUGCAAGGCUUGAGGGAGACAGGGGUAAGCGGAACUGAUGGUGGAGCGGUGAAAUGCGUUGAUAUCAUCAGGAACACCGGUGGCGAAAGCGGCUUACUGGGUCUCUUCUGACGCUGAGGAACGAAAGCUAGGGGAGCGAACGGG
Molecule: ribosomal RNA, 253 nt
Filed under: uncultured bacterium
Lineage: Bacteria
Description: partial 16S ribosomal RNA
Rfam family: Bacterial small subunit ribosomal RNA
Source: RNAcentral